GUAUGCUGAAGGUGUCAUCUCUUGAGAAGAUGCCAUGGGUUUCAAGUCGAAGAUUCCAUUACAAAUGUCAAAGAAAAUGAGGAAAUCUGGAGCACACAACAAUCGGAACAAUCUGAAUCUCAACCUCGUACCUGGGUACGAAGUUGUCGGAAUCUAAUACCCUGUUCGGGAAAGCUUUUGUGCGACUAAAGCAUCAAGCUAGAUGGUAAAAGCUUGCCUAUACUACUUGUGGAGAACGUUAAGCGGAUAAUGUCGACUGGGAAGAUGGAUUGCAGAAAUUGAGGCGAACGUUUUCGAUUGGCGAGAGAUAAGGCAUGCUAAACCUUUUAACAUUUUUUUUCGAGGUAUAUUCAUAGUCUUUAACAACUAUCAACUAUUUAGUACAUAAUCACUAAUAAAUUAAGAGCCAGCGCUGAGUCUCCCCUUGACAAGUAAAAUCAUCUGGCGUUAGGGGUCACGUCCAUAUUCAUGUUGCCACGCAUAACGUUGAAUCGACGUUAACACUCAAACCCACCCACCCACCCUAAAUAGCGUCGAGCGUGGCAGUCACAUUCUUCAAAACUUUAACAAAAUUGUCAUUUUGCCACGAGAUUAUCGAGAUAAUUGAGAUAAACCCACCCACCCACUCAUAACGUUGAUUCGACGUUAUGCGUGGCAAUAUGAAUAUGGACGUGACCCCUUAGACAAAGUGAAUAUACUAAAGUAGGGUGUAAAAAAAAAAUAAUCUGUUGUUCCGGUUCCCGACUGAGCCUAUUUUUUUUCUGCCGACCCUAUUAUUUUUUCAACGCGAUUGACCGUGCGACCCUAUUUUCUGCGGGUGGUUGCGGGUUGCUGCCAAAAUGGCGUCUGUUGUCACACUAAUUAUUGAAAAAACCAUGAAAAAAAAUAAUAUUCCAAAAAAAAUUAUUUCCGACCUACCGACCCUAAUUUUUUCGAGAUAUGAAACCGGAACCACAGGUAUUUUUUUUUACGCUAGGAUGAUGCAUCAGCUGGGUGCAAUGCAACUCGAUGGGUUAAUCAUCAGAUUUUUAAUUCUUUUGGCGGACAUAUGAUAUUGUCCUGUAAUCAGUGCCAUGUAUGCAUGCAUGUACAUGUGUUAUCUGCAUAUGUGUUCGGCCCAUUUAAAACAUUUUCCAACGUUAGAUUUAACAUUUUCAUUUCAUGCAUUUUGAUGAAUCUUGCAUGGACUAACUUAAGAUAUGUCUUUGCUGAAACUUCGAUAUAGUAUUAAUUUUCAAUAUUAUUAACAACAAUUUCAUAAUUCAAGGUGAAUGCAUGGUUGUGAAUCAAUGGCUAUAAAUUUGCUCAAGGGUAGUCUACAAGAGGAAUCCAAUGUGGAUUGAAGAGAGGCA
This is a non-coding RNA of Paramuricea clavata, 1352 nucleotides long. Lineage: Eukaryota; Metazoa; Cnidaria; Anthozoa; Malacalcyonacea; Plexauridae. The record is from the annotation of a GenBank genome assembly.